GGGUCGGUAGCUCAGUCGGUAGAGCAGCGGACUUUUAAUCCGUUGGUUGGGGGUUCAAGUCCCCCACGACCCA
Molecule: transfer RNA, 73 nt
Filed under: Candidatus Tayloriibacteriota bacterium
Lineage: Bacteria; Candidatus Tayloriibacteriota
Description: tRNA-Lys
Rfam family: tRNA
About the family: Transfer RNA (tRNA) molecules are approximately 80 nucleotides in length.
Source: RNAcentral